UAUUAAUUGAUAUGGAAUAUCAAUUUGCUGCUUAUUUGAAUAAUUUUAUUAUCGAAAUCAGUACAAAGAAUGAGAAAAAGUCAAAUGCAGAAGAGUAUGCAUCUAUAGGAACUGUUACCAUAAAUUGAUAUUGAUAAGCAGGUAAAGGAGGAGGAGGUGCAUCUGUACAGUUUCAAUUAAUAUCAGUCACUGAAAUAAAACUGUUGGUUUUUAUGAGAGGAUUCUUUAUGUAUUUCUCAUGGAGGAACCUAAUCAACUGGCUCCUUCUCCCUGAUUAUUCUUAAUUCUGGAUGACACAAUUGAAAGCAAAUUGUCAUCAUAAUCAGUAGGUUCUAAAACAAUGAAUUUAUAAAUAUACAAAGACUUAGAAAUCCUACACUGCCUUACAUUAAAAAAAUUAUAUAAGCAACCACAGCUCCACGGCAGGAUUUCUGGCACAGCUGCCUCAUCAUAGCUGAGUUCUGAUGUGGCCUAGCAACACAGCUGUUUCGCGCUGAAGAAAUGCAGUUGUGGUGUGGAUAAGGAUAAGGCAGAUUUGGAAGGCACAAUAAGUCAAAUCACUCAUGUUUAACAAUAACAAAUCAUGUUUAAUGCAAGAGAGACUCCUUUACAUUCAUUUACAUAUUGAUUAUUGGUUUGACAUAUUAUUUCAGAGGAUAAAUACCUUGAUAUUGGAGUCUUAUUGUUAUCAGUUGAGAAUUAGAUGGUCUAAUGGUGAAUUUAUAUUCAACUCCAAUGUAGGUAUAUUAGUGAAUUUGAAUGGGGCAAGGAAGGAAAAUGAAGGAUAAAGAUUAUGAUGCAACUUUGGAAAAAUGUGGAAAGGGUCUUUGAAGAGACAAACAGCAAAUAUAAGCGAAAAAAGAUUGACAGAGUAUGCCGAUGGCAGCAAACAAUGGACAAACAAGGAAGAAGACCCUGAACCUUUGUCUAGCAGGUCUUUUAUAUUCGUUGUCCAACUCCUCCACCCAUCAGUCCAAAGACAGAUGGUCUGGGCCUGAAGAUGAUCCUCAUUCGCCCAGUUUCUCUCUUGAAUCUUAUUUAUAUUUGUUAAUUUAAGAUAAAAAAAGGGUAAUAAAUCCUUAACUGUCAUCCAAUGAAUGGUUAUUUUCAUUCUGGUUUCUGGUGCAAUCUUCUUAUUUCUGAUUUCAGGAUAAAUAUUGUUAUUUCUUUUUUAAUUAUCCCC
This 1183-nucleotide long non-coding RNA is filed under the name Androctonus crassicauda. Lineage: Eukaryota; Metazoa; Arthropoda; Arachnida; Scorpiones; Buthidae. The record is from RNAcentral.